GAUGAAGAACGUAGCGAAAUGCGAUACGUAAUGUGAAUUGCAGAAUUCAGUGAAUCAUCGAGUCUUUGAACGCACAUUGCGCCCCCUGGUAUUCCGGGGGGCAUGCCUGUCCGAGCGUCAUUGCUGCCCUCAAGCACGGCUUGUGUGUUGGGCCUCCGUCCUCCUCCCGGGGGACGGGCCCGAAAGGCAGCGGCGGCACCGCGUCCGGUCCUCGAGCGUAUGGGGCUUCGUCACCCGCUCUUGUAGGCCCGGCCGGCGCUUGCCGACACAUCAAUCUUUUUUCCAGGUUGACCUCGGAUCAGGUAGGGAUACCCGCUGAACUUAAGCAUAUCAAUAGGCGGAGGA
This 345-nucleotide unclassified non-coding RNA is filed under the name soil metagenome. Its description in RNAcentral is "partial contains 5.8S ribosomal RNA, internal transcribed spacer 2, and large subunit ribosomal RNA". The stretch from base 1 to 120 matches the Rfam family "5.8S ribosomal RNA", at positions 35 to 154 of the family's 154-position model. The record is from RNAcentral.